Long non-coding RNA from Terrapene triunguis (Three-toed box turtle), 622 nucleotides. RefSeq lists it as uncharacterized. The record is from RefSeq and is a predicted model, not a curated record. Lineage: Eukaryota; Metazoa; Chordata; Testudines; Emydidae. The transcript is spliced from 3 exons.
CUCACUUCUACUGAUGUCUUAAUUUUAAGCACCUGAAAAACACCAAACUCACUGAAAGGUAUGACAGUUUGGGAGACCGAACUCCUGUUUAUGCCCAGAACAGGUACAAUGGGCAGUGUCAGGGCAAGUUACCCUCAUGCUGAUCCCAUCCUAUCUGAGGGAGAACCCCCUAAAGAGGUGAGAGGAGAGUUCAGCUUUCAAGGCCCAUUCCUCGUUUGGUCUUUCAGAUGAGACUGGCAGCAGAGGCACAACAUAUGAUGUUCCAUAGAGUAUUCUGGCAUCCACCUGCUGAGGUGUUUUAUAGCCCAUGUUACAGGAAACCUUCCCAUGAUGAAUUCUUGACAGCCACAACUCUCCUGUUGUAUUCUACUCAUCCAGCACAACAGUGGUGACAAGGAAGUAGCAAGAACACUCUUUCCUGCUGUAUUGCUGUAGGGCUUCCUACCUGGAGGUGGAAAGGACCUGUCCUUUAAGAAGUUAUGAGAGGAUGAUGCCUGAAAAGAAAGUCUGGUACACAGGCUGCAUGGAGUUAUGUGGUACCUCCACUCUAUGCCCCAAAAGGAAAUUACUCUAAUGUAAUUGAGCACCAGUGGCUACAAGCUGUGAGGGCUCUCCACUACCC